Molecule: ribosomal RNA, 245 nt
Filed under: uncultured Ignavibacterium sp.
Lineage: Bacteria; Pseudomonadati; Ignavibacteriota; Ignavibacteria; Ignavibacteriales; Ignavibacteriaceae
Description: partial 16S ribosomal RNA
Rfam family: Bacterial small subunit ribosomal RNA
Source: RNAcentral
UACGUAGGGGGUUAGCGUUGUCCGGAUUUACUGGGUGUAAAGGGCGCGUAGGCGGAUUCGUAAGUCAGAGGUGAAAUCCUACAGCUUAACUGUAGACCUGCCUUUGAUACUGCGAAUCUUGAGUUCAGAAGAGAGAGAUGGAAUUCCAGGUGUAGUGGUGAAAUACGUAGAUAUCUGGAAGAACACCAGUGGCGAAGGCGGUCUCUUGGUCUGUAACUGACGCUGAGGCGCGAAAGCGUGGGUAG